UACAGAGGGGGCAAGCGUUGUUCGGAAUUACUGGGCGUAAAGGGCGCGUAGGCGGCCUGUUAAGUCGAACGUGAAAUCCCCGGGCUCAACCCGGGAACUGCGUCCGAUACUGGCAGGCUUGAAUUCGGGAGAGGGAUGCGGAAUUCCAGGUGUAGCGGUGAAAUGCGUAGAUAUCUGGAGGAACACCGGUGGCGAAGGCGGCAUCCUGGACCAACACUGACGCUGAGUGAGCGAAAGCCAGGGGAGCAAACGGG
RNAcentral lists this ribosomal RNA (254 nucleotides) under uncultured bacterium. Its description in RNAcentral is "partial 16S ribosomal RNA". It matches the Rfam family "Bacterial small subunit ribosomal RNA", at positions 524 to 776 of the family's 1533-position model. The record is from RNAcentral.